UACGUAGGGUGCAAGCGUUAAUCGGAAUUACUGGGCGUAAAGCGUGCGCAGGCGGUGAUGUAAGACAGGUGUGAAAUCCCCGGGCUUAACCUGGGAACUGCGCUUGUUACUGGCAAGCUGGAGUGUGGCAGAGGGGGGUGGAAUUCCACGUGUAGCAGUGAAAUGCGUAGAGAUGCGGAGGAACACCGAUGGCGAAGGCAGCCCCCUGGGCCAACACUGACGCUCAGGCACGAAAGCGUGGGGAGCAAACAGG
This 253-nucleotide ribosomal RNA is filed under the name uncultured bacterium. RNAcentral describes it as "partial 16S ribosomal RNA". It matches the Rfam family "Bacterial small subunit ribosomal RNA", at positions 524 to 776 of the family's 1533-position model. The record is from RNAcentral.